Molecule: long non-coding RNA, 231 nt
Filed under: Gossypium barbadense (sea-island cotton)
Lineage: Eukaryota; Viridiplantae; Streptophyta; Magnoliopsida; Malvales; Malvaceae
Description: long non-coding RNA (GBAR_LNC008911)
Source: RNAcentral
GAUAAGCUCAUCACUCAACAUCUCAUUUGUAUAUAUAAGUCACAUUAAUCUCGUUGAGUUUCUAGGAAAUCUCGAUGGAAUAUCCAUUUACUGUCAAUUCGUACAAUGAUAGUUUCAGAUAUGCACUCCCGCGAACCUCACAUCUUAUGGCGGGAUAACUAGUCCAGGCUAAAUCACCCAUUUUAUGAACUCAUAAAGUGGUGUCGGGAUUACCAGUCCAGGCUAAAUCCC